This is a non-coding RNA of Acanthosepion pharaonis, 99 nucleotides long. NCBI's taxonomy places the organism in Eukaryota, Metazoa, Mollusca, Cephalopoda, Sepiida, Sepiidae. The record is from the annotation of a GenBank genome assembly.
AUUGAAACACCACCUCCUAUACGAUCACCAAAGUUAAGCAACAUCAAGCCUGGCCAGUACCUAGAUGGUUGACCACUUGGGAAUACCAGGUACUGUAAG